This is a small nuclear RNA of Nycticebus coucang (slow loris), 142 nucleotides long. RefSeq annotates it as U4 spliceosomal RNA. The record is from RefSeq and is a predicted model, not a curated record. Lineage: Eukaryota; Metazoa; Chordata; Mammalia; Primates; Lorisidae. The transcript has a single exon.
AGCUUUGCGCAGUGGCAGUAUCAUAGCCAAUGAGGUUUAUCAAAGGUGCAAUUAUUGCUAAUUGAAAAAUUUUCCCCAAUACCCCGCCAUGACGACUUGCAAUAUAGUAGGCAUUGGCAAUUUUUGACGGUCUCUAUGGAGA